RNAcentral lists this ribosomal RNA (433 nucleotides) under uncultured bacterium. RNAcentral's name for it is "partial 16S ribosomal RNA". It matches the Rfam family "Bacterial small subunit ribosomal RNA", at positions 29 to 507 of the family's 1533-position model. The record is from RNAcentral.
AACGAACGCUGGCGGCAUGCCUAACACAUGCAAGUCGAACGAGACCUUCGGGUCUAGUGGCGCACGGGUGCGUAACGCGUGGGAACCUGCCCUUAGGUUCGGAAUAACUCCCCGAAAGGGGUGCUAAUACCGGAUAAUGUCUUCGGACCAAAGAUUUAUCGCCUUUGGAUGGGCCCGCGUUGGAUUAGCUAGUUGGUAGGGUAAAAGCCUACCAAGGCGACGAUCCAUAGCUGGUCUGAGAGGAUGAUCAGCCACACUGGGACUGAGACACGGUCCAGACUCCUACGGGAGGCAGCAGUGGGGGAUAUUGGAAAGUGGGCGAAAGCCUGAUCCAGCAAUGCCGCGUGAGUGAUGAAGGCCUUAGGGUUGUAAAGCUCUUUUACCCGGGAUGAUAAUGACAGUACCGGGAGAAUAAGCUCCGGCUAACUCCGUG